This 245-nucleotide long non-coding RNA is filed under the name Amborella trichopoda. RNAcentral describes it as "long non-coding RNA (ATRI_LNC005209)". Lineage: Eukaryota; Viridiplantae; Streptophyta; Magnoliopsida; Amborellales; Amborellaceae. The record is from RNAcentral.
UCAGAAACAGGAAGAUCGUGGUGUGGCGUAGUUCUCUCUGGUUCUUGUUUAGAGAGAAAAAGAGCGAUAUGGUUUCUCGCUGAAACUCUGCUACAAAGAAAGAUGAGCUCCUCUCUAUCGCUUCCCCUCUUCAUGGGUUUGUCAUGGUCGACGACUUGUCUAGUCUCCUCUUUUUCUUAUAAAUUUGUUUUGAUAUUCUCUCUCUAAAACCUGUAUUCCUUGACAUUUAUGCGACUAAAGCACGG